GCCGCGCUUCCCGCCGCAGCCAGGGCGCCGGGAGAGGCCCGAUUGCACGAUCGCAGGCGGUAGGGAGCCGCGGGGCCUCCGGCCAGAACUCCGCCGCGCCUUCGCGACUCGAGGCCCACCUCCUCGCUCCUGCUGGCGCGGCGGGCUAGGGCCGCACUGCGAGAGGGAAAGGAUAACUGUAAAAUCAGGCCGUCAUCAACAAGUAUAGUAAUAGGACAGAUGGUGUCUCUUCACUCUCAGCUUGAGGAUGAAGAUAUUACCAUCUCUACCCUCCUUGUUGGAUCUGGUUGGCUCCUCCUCCUGAUUUUUCUGUGAGAUCCCCCAGGGCUCUGACCUUAACAACCUCAUUCAUUGCCGGCUGU
Long non-coding RNA from Mustela erminea (ermine), 362 nucleotides. RefSeq lists it as uncharacterized. The transcript has 3 exons. NCBI's taxonomy places the organism in Eukaryota, Metazoa, Chordata, Mammalia, Carnivora, Mustelidae. The record is from RefSeq and is a predicted model, not a curated record.